This 253-nucleotide ribosomal RNA is filed under the name uncultured bacterium. RNAcentral describes it as "partial 16S ribosomal RNA". It matches the Rfam family "Bacterial small subunit ribosomal RNA", at positions 524 to 776 of the family's 1533-position model. The record is from RNAcentral.
GACGGAGGGUGCUAGCGUUGUUCGGAAUUACUGGGCGUAAAGCGCGCGUAGGCGGCUUUGUAAGUUAGAGGUGAAAGCCCGGGGCUCAACCCCGGAACAGCCUUUAAGACUGCAUCGCUAGAAUCCGGGAGAGGUGAGUGGAAUUCCGAGUGUAGAGGUGAAAUUCGUAGAUAUUCGGAAGAACACCAGUGGCGAAGGCGGCUCACUGGACCGGCAUUGACGCUGAGGUGCGAAAGCGUGGGGAGCAAACAGG